GCGAGAGUGGCGGAAUUGGCAGACGCGCUGGAUUUAGGAUCCAGUGGGCAUAGCCCGUGGAGGUUCGAGUCCUCUCUCUCGCA
This 83-nucleotide transfer RNA is filed under the name Pirellulaceae bacterium. Its description in RNAcentral is "tRNA-Leu". It matches the Rfam family "tRNA". From Rfam's summary of the family: Transfer RNA (tRNA) molecules are approximately 80 nucleotides in length. Their secondary structure includes four short double-helical elements and three loops (D, anti-codon, and T loops). Lineage: Bacteria; Pseudomonadati; Planctomycetota; Planctomycetia; Pirellulales; Pirellulaceae. The record is from RNAcentral.